UACGGAGGGUGCAAGCGUUAUUCGGAGUGACUGGGCGUAAAGCGCGUGUAGGCGGCUUGUUAAGUCUGGUGUGAAAUCCCUGGACUCAAUCCAGGAAGUGCAUUGGAUACUGGCAAGCUAGAGUAUGGGAGAGGAGAGCGGAAUUCCUGGUGUAGAGGUGAAAUUCGUAGAUAUCAGGAGGAACAACAGAGGCGAAGGCGGCUCUCUGGACCAUUACUGACGCUGAGGCGCGAAAGCGUGGGGAGCAAACAGG
This 253-nucleotide ribosomal RNA is filed under the name uncultured bacterium. RNAcentral describes it as "partial 16S ribosomal RNA". It matches the Rfam family "Bacterial small subunit ribosomal RNA", at positions 524 to 776 of the family's 1533-position model. The record is from RNAcentral.